Molecule: ribosomal RNA, 486 nt
Filed under: Salmonella enterica
Lineage: Bacteria; Pseudomonadati; Pseudomonadota; Gammaproteobacteria; Enterobacterales; Enterobacteriaceae
Description: bacterial SSU rRNA
Rfam family: Bacterial small subunit ribosomal RNA
Source: RNAcentral
GAGUAAUGUCUGGGAAACUGCCUGAUGGAGGGGGAUAACUACUGGAAACGGUGGCUAAUACCGCAUAACGUCGCAAGACCAAAGAGGGGGACCUUCGGGCCUCUUGCCAUCAGAUGUGCCCAGAUGGGAUUAGCUUGUUGGUGAGGUAACGGCUCACCAAGGCGACGAUCCCUAGCUGGUCUGAGAGGAUGACCAGCCACACUGGAACUGAGACACGGUCCAGACUCCUACGGGAGGCAGCAGUGGGGAAUAUUGCACAAUGGGCGCAAGCCUGAUGCAGCCAUGCCGCGUGUAUGAAGAAGGCCUUCGGGUUGUAAAGUACUUUCAGCGGGGAGGAAGGUGUUGUGGUUAAUAACCGCAGCAAUUGACGUUACCCGCAGAAGAAGCACCGGCUAACUCCGUGCCAGCAGCCGCGGUAAUACGGAGGGUGCAAGCGUUAAUCGGAAUUACUGGGCGUAAAGCGCACGCAGGCGGUCUGUCAAGUCG